This 429-nucleotide ribosomal RNA is filed under the name Pseudomonas sp. RNAcentral describes it as "bacterial SSU rRNA". It matches the Rfam family "Bacterial small subunit ribosomal RNA", at positions 392 to 814 of the family's 1533-position model. Lineage: Bacteria; Pseudomonadati; Pseudomonadota; Gammaproteobacteria; Pseudomonadales; Pseudomonadaceae. The record is from RNAcentral.
CCAUGCCGCGUGUGUGAAGAAGGUCUUCGGAUUGUAAAGCACUUUAAGUUGGGAGGAAGGGCAGUAAGUUAAUACCUUGCUGUUUUGACGUUACCAACAGAAUAAGCACCGGCUAACUUCGUGCCAGCAGCCGCGGUAAUACGAAGGGUGCAAGCGUUAAUCGGAAUUACUGGGCGUAAAGCGCGCGUAGGUGGUUUGGUAAGAUGGAUGUGAAAUCCCCGGGCUCAACCUGGGAACUGCAUCCAUAACUGCCUGACUAGAGUACGGUAGAGGGUGGUGGAAUUUCCUGUGUAGCGGUGAAAUGCGUAGAUAUAGGAAGGAACACCAGUGGCGAAGGCGACCACCUGGACUGAUACUGACACUGAGGUGCGAAAGCGUGGGGAGCAAACAGGAUUAGAAACCCUUGUAGUCCAGACCAAGUCUCUGCCU